RNAcentral lists this ribosomal RNA (1043 nucleotides) under Pseudacrobeles bostromi. RNAcentral's name for it is "eukaryotic LSU rRNA". It matches the Rfam family "Eukaryotic large subunit ribosomal RNA", at positions 69 to 944 of the family's 3401-position model. The record is from RNAcentral. Lineage: Eukaryota; Metazoa; Nematoda; Chromadorea; Rhabditida; Cephalobidae.
CGAGGAUUCCCUUAGUAACGGCGAGUGAACGGGGAAAAGCCCAGCGCUGAAUCCUGUUGCUCUAACGGGUAACGGGAAGUGUAGCGUAUAGUAGGCGAUUUUCCUUGAUGKCUGUCGACUUAAAUYCUCCUUGACAGGGGCUCCGGAGAAGGUGAAAGGCCUGUACAGUCGAUGRCCGUCUWGGAUUCCGUUCUAYUUGGAGUCGGGUUGUUUGGRAAYGCAGCCCAAAUUAGGUGGUAAACUUCACCUAAGGCUAAAUACGWCCACGAAACCGAUAGYAAACAAGUACCGUGAGGGAAAGUUGAAAAGUACUUUGAAGAGAGAGUUCAAGAGGACGUGAAACCGGUAGGAUGGAAACGGAUAGAGCCAACGAACAAGCCUGUAUUCAGCUAKUCAACUGCGUGCAGCAUGCCUGUGUGCUCGAUAGGGUGCAUGGGUGUGUAUACGUAUGCGGUARGCUAGUGCAUUUGCGRGUGAUGUGCGCCGAGGCGUGUGAUGGGGUAAUAUGAACUGUCURGAGAGGCCUCGCUCCAUUAGGCUUGGUACCUACAGACGGGGAGUAUCGUCCCUGUUGCACGUAGCAAAUGGUUAGGUACAGACGCGUUGUGGUAUAGCCAGGCUGGCGCUCGGGUGAGUCGCAUGCGACGAUCUUGGGUGUUCGGUUUUGGYGGUGCGCCAAUGCCCUGACCGAUCUUCGGCGUAAAAGUUGGUCACCUCUCCGACCCGUCUUGAAACACGGACCAAGGAGUCUAGCGUAUGCGCGAGUCAUUGGGUGGAAAACCCAUAGGCGUAAUGAAAGUGAAGGUCUCUUUCYGAGACUCAUAUGCGAUCCGUUGCAUUACGGUGYAGCGGAGCAGCAUAGCCCCAUCUCGACUGCUUGCAGURGGRUGGAGGUAGAGCGUAUUCGCUGGUACCCGAAAGAUGGUGAACUAUGCCUGAGCAGGAUGAAGCCAGAGGAAACUCUGGUGGAGGUCCGAAGCGCUUCUGACGUGCAAAUCGAUCGUCUGACUUUGGUAUAGGGGCGAAAGACUAAUCGAACCAUC